RNAcentral lists this microRNA precursor (51 nucleotides) under Equus asinus (donkey). RNAcentral describes it as "mir-1302 microRNA precursor family". It matches the Rfam family "mir-1302 microRNA precursor family". RNAcentral also lists the same sequence under 1 other name. The record is from Rfam by way of RNAcentral. Lineage: Eukaryota; Metazoa; Chordata; Mammalia; Perissodactyla; Equidae.
UUUUCAGUAUAAUAUGUCCCAGACAAUAUUUGGGACAUACUUACACUAAAA